GCUGCGGCUGGAAGGCAAGGAGUACGUCGUCGCCGACGGCGACGUGAUGCAUUUCAGGUUCAAUACCUGAGCGCGGUC
Molecule: transfer RNA, 78 nt
Filed under: Bradyrhizobium sp. Ce-3
Lineage: Bacteria; Pseudomonadati; Pseudomonadota; Alphaproteobacteria; Hyphomicrobiales; Nitrobacteraceae
Description: tRNA-Val
Source: RNAcentral